Long non-coding RNA from Eriocheir sinensis (Chinese mitten crab), 1147 nucleotides. RefSeq lists it as uncharacterized. The transcript has 2 exons. NCBI's taxonomy places the organism in Eukaryota, Metazoa, Arthropoda, Malacostraca, Decapoda, Varunidae. The record is from RefSeq and is a predicted model, not a curated record.
AUAUAUAUAUAUAUAUAUAUAUAUAUAUAUAUAUAUAUAUAUAUAUAUAUAUAUUUUUUUUUUACAUGAGGGAUGGUGGCCAAGGGAAAAGAUUAAAAAAGGACGCUAGUUGCUAAACCCCAAAAAGACGAAAGUUAAAGGAAUCAAUACUUAUAUAUUUUCGAGUCAAUCCGUAAUAAAAGUGUACUUGACGAUUAUAUAAUUAUCAUAAAUUAAUAAAAAUUAUCUUUAUAUGUAAUAACAUGCUGUAAUUAUUCUUUAAAUAAGUAAUGGUAUUCAUGGUUAUUGUUCUGCUAUAAUUAUCUGAUGUAAUAAAAACUUGUGGGAUGGAAGUAAUAUUAAAUGUAACUAAAUUCUUAUUUAUUUGAUCACAGCGGCACAGCCUUUGAAAAAUGUGUAUGUGGUUUGAUUUUUUUUUUCAAAAUGAACUUAAAGUAUUAGGUACUGUAUCAAUUGUUUCACUUAAAUUUGAAACUACUUGAUAAGGUUUAAAGCUAAGUUAAAGCUGGUACAAGAAAGGAACAAAAAAAGUAAAAGUUAGCUACUUUGCUAAAAAAUAACAUCCUAUACUGCACAUGUUGCAGGUAAAGUUGACACAGUAAAGGAACAAAAAAAUAUAAGUUAGCUACUUUGCUAAAAAAAAAAUACGAGUAACAUCCUAUACUGCACAUAUUGCAGGUAAAAUUGAAAAAGUAAAGGAACAAAAAGUAUAAGUUAGCUACUUUGCUAAAAAUUAAUUUCUCCCAAUUUGUAAGAAUCUCCAUGAAGUGAAAUCUUUACUAAAAAAAUUAGCACGUAAAGGAGUCGGAGUCGCUCAUAUUUUUACCGACUCCGACUCUGACUCCAAUUCCGACUCCGACUCCGACUCUGACUCCAAUUCCGACUCCGACUCCGACUCCGGCCAAAAGUAGCCGACUCCUCGACUCCUCGACUCCGACUCCACACCCCUGUUUUAAACUAUGGUUUUAUUUAACACUGGCAAAGUUUAACCCGGUAGCAGCGGGGAUCAUGUUUCUUAAUGUUCCCUCUAAGCGAGAAAAAUGAGAAAAAAUCAUCACUCACACAAACCAUUUCAUAAUAUAUAUCAAAGCAUUUGUGAUCAUUUUAUGUAUCUUCUAUUUUGGGAGGUUUAUAUCAUGGCACAAAU